This 305-nucleotide ribosomal RNA is filed under the name uncultured bacterium. Its description in RNAcentral is "bacterial SSU rRNA". It matches the Rfam family "Bacterial small subunit ribosomal RNA", at positions 335 to 639 of the family's 1533-position model. The record is from RNAcentral.
ACCCUACGGGACGCAGCAGUGAGGAAUAUUGGUCAAUGGCCGAAGGGCUGAACCAGCCAAGCCGCGUGAAGGAAUAAGGCCCUACGGGUCGUAAACUUCUUUAGUCAGGGAACAAAGGGAGCCACGCGUGGCGCUGUGAGUGUACCUGAAGAAUAAGCAUCGGCUAACUCCGUGCCAGCAGCCGCGGUAAUACGGAGGAUGCGAGCGUUAUCCGGAUUUAUUGGGUUUAAAGGGUGCGCAGGCGGAAGCGCAAGUCAGCGGUAAAAUUGAGAGGCUCAACCUCUUCCCGCCGUUGAAACUGCGUU